This 439-nucleotide ribosomal RNA is filed under the name uncultured bacterium. RNAcentral's name for it is "partial 16S ribosomal RNA". It matches the Rfam family "Bacterial small subunit ribosomal RNA", at positions 338 to 795 of the family's 1533-position model. The record is from RNAcentral.
CCUACGGUGUGCAGCAGUAGGGAAUCUUUCACAAUGGGCGAAAGCCUGAUGGAGCAACGCCGCGUGCAGGAUGAAGGCCUUCGGGUUGUAAACUGCUUUUAUAAGCGAGAAAUAUGAUGGUAACUUAUGAAUAAGGAUCGGCUAACUACGUGCCAGCAGCCGCGGUAAUACGGAGGAUGCGAGCGUUAUCCGGAUUUAUUGGGUUUAAAGGGUGCGUAGGCGGGCUUUUAAGUCAGCGGUAAAAAUUCGGGGCUCAACCCCGUCCGGCCGUUGAAACUGGGGGCCUUGAGUGGGCGAGAAGAAGGCGGAAGGCGUGGUGUAGCGGUGAAAUGCAUAGAUAUCACGCAGAACCCCGAUUGCGAAGGCAGCCUUCCGGCGCCCUACUGACGCUGAGGCACGAAAGUGCGGGGAUCGAACAGGAUUAGAUACCCUUGUAGUC